ACGAACGCUGGCGGCGUGCUUAACACAUGCAAGUCGAACGGAAAGGCCCUGCUUUUGUGGGGUGCUCGAGUGGCGAACGGGUGAGUAACACGUGAGUAACCUGCCCUUGACUUUGGGAUAACUUCAGGAAACUGGGGCUAAUACCGGAUAGGAGCUCCUGCUGCAUGGUGGGGGUUGGAAAGUUUCGGCGGUUGGGGAUGGACUCGCGGCUUAUCAGCUUGUUGGUGGGGUAGUGGCUUACCAAGGCUUUGACGGGUAGCCGGCCUGAGAGGGUGACCGGCCACAUUGGGACUGAGAUACGGCCCGGACUCCUACGGGAGGCAGAAGUGGGGAAUAUUGCACAAUGGGCGGAAGCCUGAUGCAGCAACGCCGCGUGCGGGAUGACGGCCUUCGGGUUGUAAACCGCUUUCGCCUGUGACGAAGCGUGAGUGACGGUAAUGGGUAAAGAAGCACCGGCUAACUACGUG
This 467-nucleotide ribosomal RNA is filed under the name uncultured bacterium. RNAcentral's name for it is "partial 16S ribosomal RNA". It matches the Rfam family "Bacterial small subunit ribosomal RNA", at positions 29 to 507 of the family's 1533-position model. The record is from RNAcentral.